AGCGAACGCUGGCGGCAGGCUUAACACAUGCAAGUCGAGCGGGCAUCCUUGUGGUGUCAGCGGCAGACGGGUGAGUAACGCGUGGGAACGUGCCCUUCGGUUCGGAAUAACUCAGGGAAACUUGAGCUAAUACCGGAUACGUGCGAGAGCAGAAAGGUUUAUCUGCCGAAGGAUCGGCCCGCGUCUGAUUAGCUAGUUGGUGAGGUUACGGCUCACCAAGGCGACGAUCAGUAGCUGGUCUGAGAGGAUGAUCAGCCACACUGGGACUGAGACACGGCCCAGACUCCUACGGGAGGCAGCUGUGGGGAAUAUUGGACAAUGGGGGCAACCCUGAUCCAGCCAUGCCGCGUGAGUGAUGACGGCCUUAGGGUUGUAAAGCUCUUUUCUCCGGGACGAUAAUGACGGUACCGGAGGAAUAAGCCCCGGCUAACUUCGUG
Molecule: ribosomal RNA, 437 nt
Filed under: uncultured bacterium
Lineage: Bacteria
Description: partial 16S ribosomal RNA
Rfam family: Bacterial small subunit ribosomal RNA
Source: RNAcentral